GGAGACGUGGCCGAGAGGCCGAAGGCACCUCACUGCUAACGAGGCAGGGGAUAAAACCCCUCGUGGGUUCGAAUCCCACCGUCUCCG
Molecule: transfer RNA, 87 nt
Filed under: Candidatus Yonathbacteria bacterium
Lineage: Bacteria; Candidatus Yonathiibacteriota
Description: tRNA-Ser
Rfam family: tRNA
About the family: Transfer RNA (tRNA) molecules are approximately 80 nucleotides in length. Their secondary structure includes four short double-helical elements and three loops (D, anti-codon, and T loops). Further hydrogen bonds mediate the characteristic L-shaped molecular structure. tRNAs have two regions of fundamental functional importance: the anti-codon, which is responsible for specific mRNA codon recognition, and the 3' end, to which the tRNAs corresponding amino acid is attached (by aminoacyl-tRNA synthetases). tRNAs cope with the degeneracy of the genetic code in two manners: having more than one tRNA (with a specific anti-codon) for a particular amino acid; and 'wobble' base-pairing, i.e. permitting non-standard base-pairing at the 3rd anti-codon position.
Source: RNAcentral